Molecule: long non-coding RNA, 534 nt
Organism: Alnus glutinosa
Lineage: Eukaryota; Viridiplantae; Streptophyta; Magnoliopsida; Fagales; Betulaceae
Exons: 3
Source: RefSeq, a predicted model, not a curated record
UCUCUUUUCCUUUUUCCUUUCUUUCCUCUCUUCUCUCCCUCUCACGCACAACCUAGCCCCUUCCCCCUCUUCCUUCUUCCUCUCUUCAUCUCUCUCUCUCACACUCACGCACACACAUGGACCCGAGAGAGAGUGUUGAGCCGAAAAUGGAGGGUGAGCUCGUGAGAACCCGUGCUCCAAGGGUCCGAAAUGCAGGCAUCAUGGGAUAGUGUCUGGAUUGGAGACUUCAAUUGGUUCUCCAAUGUAGAGUUCGAGUCAAGAGUCCAAUGCAGCUAAGAUGUGGAUACCACCACAACCGUGUAGAUGAUGUUCCUUUAGCUGCAGGUACUUCGGUAUAGUUGAUAGUUUGGUAGCAGUCUACUUGGGAUAUUAUGACUGAAGCUCGCCACGACGGUUGUAAUUGUCGGACCAUGGGUUGUCCACUGUUUAUAGGUCUGGUAUAUGGCUUGUGACGUUUGUGUCACGUAUUCUAUGUAAAGCCAUUAUUGUUAUGUAAAUAUUGUGUUAAUAAGACUUAAACAAAUAGAUGUUAAA